GCAUAACAACUGGGCAAAAGAGAUAAAUUAUUAUUGAGCCCAAUAUGCUAUAAAAGCUCAAAACCCUAAACCAACGAAACCUGCAGUAGCGUUUUAUUUAUCUUUUCGCACCGUCUAUUCAGAUCUCAGCUUGCCCAGCUCUCCCUCCGGCAACCCAGUAAGAGAUCUACAUUGAAUUCUUCCAAUGGCUGUCGCAUUCUACAACCUAACCUCAGAAUCUGGCCUUAAGAAGCUUGAUGAGUACCUUCUGACACGUAGUUAUAUCACAGGGUACCAGGCUUCUAAGGAUGAUAUUACUGUGUAUUCUGCUCUUUCAAAACCACCCUCAUCUGAAUUUGUGAAUGUAUCUCGGUGGUUCAAACACAUUGAUGCACUUUUAAGAAUUUCUGGUAUAUCUGGGGAAGGUUGCGGUGUCACUAUUGAAGGAUUUGCUGCAGCCACAGAGGAAGCUGUUGCUACUCCUGCUGCUGCUGAUACAAAGGCAGCAGCUGCUGUGGAUGAUGACGAUGAUGAUGUAGAUCUAUUUGGUGAAGAAACUGAAGAGGAAAAGAAGGCUGCCGAAGAACGUGCUGCUGCCGUAAAGGCAUCUGGCAAAAAGAAAGAGUCGGGGAAGUCUUCAGUUUUGAUGGAUGUCAAGCCAUGGGAUGAUGAGACUGACAUGAAAAAGCUUGAGGAAGCUGUCCGAAAUGUUAAAAUGGAGGGAUUGCUUUGGGGAGCUUGUAUGAUUCUCUUCUUUUUUGGACAUUGUUUUUAUACUGAAUAUAGCAGACUUUUGGAACUGGUAUCUUAUUAAUUCUAAGCUGGUACCUGUUGGAUAUGGCAUAAAAAAAUUACAAAUCAUGCUUACCAUUGUGGAUGACCUGGUGUCAGUUGAUGAUCUUAUUGAGAACUAUCUUACAGUUGAACCAUGUGAUGAGUUUGUCCAGAGCUGCGAUAUUGUGGCUUUCAACAAGAUAUAAAUGUCUGAAUCUUCUCGGCACGAAAACAGUUGUUGGAGGCGUAGCAGGCAGGAAGUUCCUAUUGUUUGUAUUCUGCUAAAUUAUAAUGGUAGUUUGUGACUUUUGACAUAAUUGUCUAGCUUAAAGAAUUUUGGGUUAUUUUUGUUGUCAAAGACUACAGUCUAGAUAUGCUGUCACCUUUGAAUUGAAAUUUCAGAAUUUUGCUUUAUAAGAUUACAAAAAAAUAUUUGUUUUGUGUUG
Molecule: RNA transcript, 1199 nt
Organism: Coffea arabica (coffee)
Lineage: Eukaryota; Viridiplantae; Streptophyta; Magnoliopsida; Gentianales; Rubiaceae
Gene name: elongation factor 1-delta
Source: RefSeq, a predicted model, not a curated record